AUGAAACCCCUCACACACUGCAGGAGCAGAGAGAAGACCUUGGGGAAGCUUGCAUCACAGGAGUCCUGGGAGACAGUUUUGUGCUCUGUAUUUGGUCUACAAGUUUGCACUGCAAUCAGAUUAACUGGUAAGAGAUGUACAGAAGACUCAAGCCAGGAAAGGCGAAACUAUGAGGAUAGAGGCUUUCUUUCUGGAGCUGUUGGGAGCUGGAGUGAGAGCCCACAAGAGAGUGGAAACAGUCCAAGAAAAGCAGGGAGGAUGUGCAGAGACAGUUUAUUCAAGGAAAACCAGUUGAAUCUAAUUGGCUGAAAACCAAUUAAUAAAAGCUGUGUAUAAAAAUGAUCACAGAGGAUGAGAAACUCUGCCAACUCAGCCUAAGUUCAGAAGAGGGUAUCCUGGCCAGGCCAGGGCAGAGGAGUGGUACAGCCAGCAAAGACGGCUCUUUGUGGAAGCUCUGGACCCACACGGAUUUCCUGGUCCUCCAAGGACUUUCACUGUGAGUACUCUGGCUGUGUGACAUGGACUAAUAUCUCAAAGCCUCUAGUACAAGAUUAGGAGGUUGCAGAUGAAGAUAAUGGAACAGAACCCACAUUUAGUGGAUUCCAAGAGCUUGUUUUCUUACUUUUUAUUUAUUUAUUUUUUUGGCUGUACCAUGGUAUGUAGAAGUUCCCAAGCCAGGGAUUGAACCCAAACCACAGCAGUGACAACACCAGAUCCUUAACCCACUGCACCACCGGGGAACUCCCCAAGAGCUCAUUUGCAUUGGCAGGUGAUAGGUCUUGGGAUGAGCCAUCCACAGAAGCUCAAUCCCCUUUGUGGUCUGUUUAAGGGUGACCAAGCAGCAGUUUGUCACUGUAUAAAAUGCAUGACUCUUAGAGGGACUGAACAUGCUACCUGGCCUCAUUUGCACUAUGAACUGAGAUAAAUGAAUGACUUGAUACACUGUGUAGACAGAUUAUAACUACUGAAGCCCUGAGCAAAUAAGCCGGAAUAUUCUUCAGAUAUCAAUGAGACGGAGAAUGCAAGUUUAAAAACCUGCAUAAAUACGAUCAUCUCAUGAUUGAAGAUUUCAGCCUAUAGUAAUCAGAAUACAUGAAGAAAAUCUGCAGAGAAUGAGGACUAUCAUUGAGAGAAGUCAUAUUCCUAGGACCAAGAAUAGAUUUUUGGUUAAAAUGAAAUAAUUAUGAAGUCAAAUACCAAAAAAAGUUGUACUUUUCCAUGGAAAGCCUCAUGGGAUUUAGAAUGAGUUUUCUAUUUUACUGCUCAUAGCUACACGUCCAAGAUGUUCUUUCUGAUUGGUCAGGAAAAUUUGGCCCUGGCCCCCUAUAUGACUGCCCUGUGGAGCCAGGACUAGAUGUAUCUGUCUUGCUCUCUUCUGGCAGUUUCAUGUGGUCUGACUGACUUGUACAGGCUGAAUGUUUUCAUGUUCCCAUAAGUAUACUGAAUGAAUAAACAACUGGGCACACUAAGCUAGCCAUUAAUUUAUACUGGGGAGCAUCACAAAAUAUGGUAAAAAAAACCCCCACAAAACUAUGAUAUUGUGCAACAUGACUUCAUUGCAGCUGAUUUAUGAGACAUUUCACACUCUAAUUGGGAUAGUUAAAUUUACUAACUUACUAGGUUUGACACAACUAUGAUUUUCUAUUUCCUCUCAUCUGUUGGACAAACUGUGUAUUUCUCAAAGGAACAGUAUGGGUUUCUUUGGUGCCUGGGCUCAGAGGCCACAUUUGUGGUUGGUUAACAUUUUGCCAAAAGCUUUGUUAAAAUAAAAUAGUUCAUUCUCUCAUCUGUGUGGAAAUUCUGGGGGUGGGAAGAAGGAGCCCUUUCUUACUAGGGAAAAUAACUAAUUUUGCUUUGGUUUCAAUACGGUAUUCAGUUCUUAUUUGACUCAUGAACAAUUCAAUGUACACAGCUUACUCUGAUGGGGAUAAUGUUUGGUUUUAGGGUAUUGUGACUAGGAAAUAGCAUUAAUAAUUCUUUGAAUAUAUUCUUUUCCAUGAUUAAAGAGCACAUUAUUUAAAGAAUUUGUCAUCUUUCUGUUCAGUGUUUAUUUACCAAGCAAUAAUGGUUAGGGGAUCUUCAUCCAAUCCUAAACCAGAGUAAACAGUGUUUUCUGAGGGUAAUCAGUUGUCUGGGGAGUCCAUCAGCUACCAUUCAAUGUGCUAAGGAAACAUCUUCCCCUUUCUCAUCAUUUCAUCAUAUUAAUAUCACCUCCUUUCAGUGUUUAUGAAGCUUGCACAGCUUGGCUUCAAGUACUGGAUGUCCUUAACCAAUUAAGCAGCACUCUUACCCUUAUAGAAGAAUCUCAAGAAAAUGCUCACCAAUACCUGCCCUGAGAACUCUUGCAGGAAAGGCAGGGUGGUGUGGAGCAAAGAGCACCAAAAUAGGAGGCCAAAGGGCAAGGGUCUUUCCUCACUCUUUCCCAAGUGGUGUGAUCCUGCAUGCAUGUCUUUUCAAGGAAAGUGGUGGUAACAUGUCUGGCCAGCUAAUCCUAGGUGCGAUGUGUGAC
Molecule: long non-coding RNA, 2509 nt
Filed under: Sus scrofa (pig)
Lineage: Eukaryota; Metazoa; Chordata; Mammalia; Artiodactyla; Suidae
Description: lncRNA (ENSSSCG00045000475.1)
Source: RNAcentral